Long non-coding RNA from Homo sapiens (human), 679 nucleotides. Ensembl annotates it as STAG3 cohesin complex component like 4 (pseudogene). Its record names the gene STAG3L4. NCBI's taxonomy places the organism in Eukaryota, Metazoa, Chordata, Mammalia, Primates, Hominidae. The record is from Ensembl.
CACAAGGGAGAUGUCCGCCCCCAGUCGUAGCCUCGGACGGUUUCUGAGCGUUGGUGUUUGGCACGCGCCACCCUCUCUUGCUUUGGUUCCGCCAUGCCGAUGUACCAGGUAAAACCUUAUCACGGGCGCGGCGCGCCUCUCCGUGUGGAGCUUCCCACCUGCAUGUACCGGCUCUCUAACGUGCAAGGCAGGAGCGGCGGCCCAGCGCCCGGCGUUGGCCACCUACAGCUAUGAAACUGAUGACCUCCCUGGUAAGAGUUGCCCUCCAACUGAGUCUGCACGAAGAUAUCAAUCAGCGUCAGUAUGAGGCUGAAAGAAACAAGGGGCCAGGGCAGAGGGCACCUGAGCGGCUGGAGAGCCUGUUGGAGAAACACAAAGAGCUGCAUUAAUACUACAUUGUCAAAGACAAAGACGAACAUGAGACAUGCGAUAUGAGUUUUAAAAGGAGAGAAGAGCAAAAAAACAAUACAGCUAUCCAAGGAGCAAGUGCUGAGCUUGUGAAAAAACAGCUUCUAUUUUAUUAAAUAAUAGUGUUCCUGCAGGGAUGUCUGAAGUACUCUGCAAGGCUAAUUAGGACAGAUCAAUGUACACUUACCUCUCCAGAAGGCUGAAAGGUGUGUAGUGACUAUGUGUCAUUAAAAAUUUACUUGACCAUGGGCAACAGAUGUCCAUGAAAGAA